RNAcentral lists this ribosomal RNA (440 nucleotides) under uncultured bacterium. RNAcentral's name for it is "partial 16S ribosomal RNA". It matches the Rfam family "Bacterial small subunit ribosomal RNA", at positions 338 to 795 of the family's 1533-position model. The record is from RNAcentral.
CCUACGGGAGGCAGCAGUGGGGGAUAUUGCACAAUGGGGGAAACCCUGAUGCAGCGACGCCGCGUGAGUGAAGAAGUAUUUCGGUAUGUAAAGCUCUAUCAGCAGGGAAGAAAAUGACAGUACCUGACCAAGAAGCCCCGGCUCACUACGUGCCAGCAGCCGCGGUAAUACGUAGGGGGCAAGCGUUAUCCGGAUUUACUGGGUGUAAAGGGAGCGUAGACGGUUAUGCAAGUCUGAAGUGAAAGCCCAAGGCUCAACCAUGGGACUGCUUUGGAAACUGUAAAACUUGAGUGCAGGAGAGGUAAGCGGAAUUCCUAGUGUAGCGGUGAAAUGCGUAGAUAUUAGGAGGAACACCAGUGGCGAAGGCGGCUUACUGGACUGUAACUGACGUUGAGGCUCGAAGGCGUGGGGAGCAAACAGGAUUAGAUACCCUAGUAGUC